AACGUAGACAGCUGCAGUAGCUGUGAGAGAAGUGUGUCCAUGAUGACGUCACGCACAGAAGCUGUUCGUAGCAAAACUAUUAAGUUGCUCUACAUUAUAUUUAUGUACCUUUGUCUCGACCAAUAUUUUUAGGUAAUCUACAAAAGAAAAUUCCCUGAAUACGACUAUCAGUAUACAGUCGGCUGUGCUGUCCAAAUACUGCCAUUGUUCUAAUGACUGCAUUAUUCUGAUUAAUAAUAGGAGAAACAAAUACAUAAAUCUGUGUUCUUAACUUCAAAAUACUAUAUAAUCCCGACUGCAGUACGUAGUUUUCAUUUCAAAAUGAAGCAGUUCGUGUUUUGUUUGAGUAUUUUUAUCUUCAUUAUAUUCUUGGCUAACAGAGAAGUAAUGGCCCAAAGUAAUGAGGGAGAAAUACAAGGAACUCGUCCUAAGAUUGUUCCAUCAGCUAAUGUUGGUAUAAUGCAACAAACUCCUCCAUCGGAACAUCUCCUACAAUCAUCUCCUGUCAAUGUUGUUAUACCAGGUCCUAUUGUAAGUUUUAUUUAUUUUCUAUAAUUUAAAGGAAAAAGGAGAAUUGUGUCUUACAAUAUUGUCAGCUGCUGAUGAGGUUGAAAGAAUAAGUAAUGGUAAACGCUAAAUACCACUUCCCAUAUCUAACCAAAGAAGAAGAAAACAACUCGCAGUUGCCUGAAUCUUGUGAUGGUUAAUAAAUAAUUGUUUUGCUGAAUAUGUGUUUGCUUAUUGCUUUAGUCGAUCAGAUCGGAAGAGC
RNAcentral lists this long non-coding RNA (769 nucleotides) under Androctonus crassicauda. The record is from RNAcentral. Lineage: Eukaryota; Metazoa; Arthropoda; Arachnida; Scorpiones; Buthidae.